UACAGAGGUCUCAAGCGUUGUUCGGAUUCAUUGGGCGUAAAGGGUGCGUAGGUGGGCAGGAAAGUCAGUGGUGAAAUCUCCGGGCUUAACCCGGAAACUGCCAUUGAUACUAUUUGUCUUGAAUACUUUGGAGGUAAGCGGAAUAUGUCAUGUAGCGGUGAAAUGCUUUGAUAUGACAUAGAACACCAAUUGCGCAGGCAGCUUACUACACAGUAAUUGACACUGAGGCACGAAAGCGUGGGGAGCAAACAGG
RNAcentral lists this ribosomal RNA (253 nucleotides) under uncultured bacterium. RNAcentral's name for it is "partial 16S ribosomal RNA". It matches the Rfam family "Bacterial small subunit ribosomal RNA", at positions 524 to 776 of the family's 1533-position model. The record is from RNAcentral.